CAGAUAGGUCUGAGACCUCAGUGAUGUCCGAAGUGGGAUGUGGAUGGGCAAGAGCCAGUACUUGCCUCUGCAAGUCGAAUACCCUAGCAGUCAAUCUCACUACACAACCCUCAAGCUGCUGAAUACGAGCUGACUGAUCUGUAAUCAUCUGGAAGACAGUGGAGAUGUGUGGGAUCAGUGUCUGAUCAGAUAUAUCAUGAACUGUCGAUCCCUGAGCAGAAACUGAAGUACCCAUCUGUCG
RNAcentral lists this long non-coding RNA (241 nucleotides) under Elaeis guineensis (African oil palm). RNAcentral describes it as "long non-coding RNA (EGUI_LNC059043)". The record is from RNAcentral. Lineage: Eukaryota; Viridiplantae; Streptophyta; Magnoliopsida; Arecales; Arecaceae.